GGGCUGCCUUCGCCAUCGGGGUUCCUCCACAUAUCUACGCAUUUCACUGCUACACGCGGAAUUCCACCUCCCUCUGACACACUCUAGUCUUGCAGUUCCAAACGCAGUUCCCAGGUUAAGCCCGGGGAUUUCACGUCUGUGUUACAAAACCGCCUGCGCACGCUUUACGCCCAGUAAUUCCGAUUAACGCUCGCACCCUACGUAUUACCGCGGCUG
RNAcentral lists this ribosomal RNA (216 nucleotides) under uncultured bacterium. RNAcentral describes it as "partial 16S ribosomal RNA". The record is from RNAcentral.